UACGAAAGGUGCAAACGUUGCUCGGAAUCAUUGGGCGUAAAGCGCACGUAGGCGGCUUGCCAAGUCGGACGUGAAAUCCCUCAGCUCAACUGAGGACGUGCAUCCGAAACUGGCGAGCUUGAGUACUGAAGAGGAUCGCGGAAUUCCCGGUGUAGAGGUGAAAUUCGUAGAUAUCGGGAGGAACACCAGUGGCGAAGGCGGCGAUCUGGGCAGAUACUGACGCUGAGGUGCGAAAGCGUGGGGAGCAAACAGG
Molecule: ribosomal RNA, 253 nt
Filed under: uncultured bacterium
Lineage: Bacteria
Description: partial 16S ribosomal RNA
Rfam family: Bacterial small subunit ribosomal RNA
Source: RNAcentral